UACGAAGGGGGCUAGCGUUGCUCGGAAUUACUGGGCGUAAAGCGUGCGCAGGCGGUUUUGUAAGUCUGACGUGAAAUCCCCGGGCUCAACCUGGGAAUUGCGUUGGAGACUGCAAGGCUGGAGUCUGGCAGAGGGGGGUAGAAUUCCACGUGUAGCAGUGAAAUGCGUAGAGAUGUGGAGGAACACCGAUGGCGAAGGCAGCCCCCUGGGUCAAGACUGACGCUCAUGCACGAAAGCGUGGGGAGCAAACAGG
This 253-nucleotide ribosomal RNA is filed under the name uncultured bacterium. Its description in RNAcentral is "partial 16S ribosomal RNA". It matches the Rfam family "Bacterial small subunit ribosomal RNA", at positions 524 to 776 of the family's 1533-position model. The record is from RNAcentral.